RNAcentral lists this long non-coding RNA (726 nucleotides) under Homo sapiens (human). RNAcentral describes it as "HSALNT0323135". Lineage: Eukaryota; Metazoa; Chordata; Mammalia; Primates; Hominidae. The record is from RNAcentral.
CUUUUCUGGACCAGCACCUCAUGAGUUCACCUUGCUACCAUCGAGGAAAUCCAGAACAACUACUCAAGGACAUGUCUGAAUGAGUCACUGAACCAUGGCUCUGUGAGGUCAAAGAUAGUGAGACAAAAAGGAAUUGCUCAAAUACUGAGAUGCAUGUCAACUCUUCCAACAACCUCCAGAAUUUACUGAGCCUGUAACACAGCUUUUGUAAUCCUUUUCUGUGAAAUCCAGUACUGUGUCAGCUUCGUUAGGGUCUAAAGUGUACCUUUCAUAAAGGACCUCAAGAUUUAUUUUCCUGAGCUUUAAAUGAGUGAAAAUGUGUUUUGUUGAAACUUCCCAAGAAGUAACUGCAUUUUCUAUGGAAUCUUCCAUUGUUUAUGGGCCUGAUGAAAGCAUUUGGCACUUAAUGAUUCCCAGACUAUUUCAACUUUAUAAAAAAUCAAGAAAAAGAAAAAAAAGAACAGAAGUAUUGACUCCUUUUAUUUCCGGACUACAUUCUCAAGGAUGUUUGUGAAGCAAACAGCUUUGGAAGAUAGAGACGCUGUCUUCCUCCAGAACAAAAGGCAAGUUUUCUUAAAGUCUUGGAAGACUGUUUCCAUCUAGAAAAGCAAGUAGGCAUUCUUAAUAUCUAGUAUGAACAACUCCGGUUUUCCAAGCUCAUCCAUCUUCUUUUGUAACACAAUUCAGUCAAUGUACAAGCACUGCCUGGCCCUCUUCAAGACAUCC